This 499-nucleotide ribosomal RNA is filed under the name uncultured bacterium. RNAcentral's name for it is "bacterial SSU rRNA". It matches the Rfam family "Bacterial small subunit ribosomal RNA", at positions 29 to 526 of the family's 1533-position model. The record is from RNAcentral.
AAUGAACGUUGGCGGCGUGGAUUAGGCAUGCAAGUCGAGGGAGAACCCGCAAGGGGGACACCGGCGAACGGGGUAGGAUCACGUAGGUGACGUACCCCCAGGGCGAGGAUAGCCACGGGAAACUGUGGGUAAUACUCGAUAAUCUUCCCAAUCGUGAUAGGAGGGGAAGCAAUGGGUGUGAUUCCACCUGGGGAGCGGCUUACGCAGUAUCAGCUUGUUGGUGAGGUAACGGCUCACCAAGGCGAUGACGCUUAGGGGGUGUGAGAGCAUGGCCCCCACCACUGGCACUGAGACACUGGCCAGACACCUACGGGUGGCUGCAGUCGAGAAUCUUCGGCAAUGGACGAAAGUCUGACCGAGCGACGCCGCGUGCGGGAUGAAGGUCUUCGGAUUGUAAACCGCUGUCAGAGGGGAUGAAGUAUACGGAAGCAAUCUUCUGUAUUUGACAGAGCCUCAGAGGAAGCACGGGCUAAGUUCGUGCCAGCAGCCGCAGUAACAC